AGUGAACGCUGGCGGUAGGCCUAACACAUGCCAGUCGAACGGCAGCACAGUAAGAGCUUGCUCUUACGGGUGGCGAGUGGCGGACGGGUGAGGAAUACAUCGGAAUCUACUUUUUCGUGGGGGAUAACGUAGGGAAACUUACGCUAAUACCGCAUACGACCUACGGGUGAAAGCAGGGGAUCUUCGGACCUUGCGCGAUUGAAUGAGCCGAUGUCGGAUUAGCUAGUUGGCGGGGUAAAGGCCCACCAAGGCGACGAUCCGUAGCUGGUCUGAGAGGAUUAUCAGCCACACUGGAACUGAGACACGGUCCAGACUCCUACGGGAGGCAGCAGUGGGGAAUAUUGGACAAUGGGCGCAAGCCUGAUCCAGCCAUACCGCGUGGGUGAAGAAGGCCUUCGGGUUGUAAAGCCCUUUUGUUGGGAAAGAAAAGCAGCAGGUUAAUACCCCGCUGUUCUGACGGUACCCAAAGAAUAAGCACCGGCUAACUUCGUG
This 492-nucleotide ribosomal RNA is filed under the name uncultured bacterium. Its description in RNAcentral is "partial 16S ribosomal RNA". It matches the Rfam family "Bacterial small subunit ribosomal RNA", at positions 29 to 507 of the family's 1533-position model. The record is from RNAcentral.